UACUGAGUUUACGCUCUACAACCCUUUGUGAACAUACCUAUAACUGUUGCUUCGGCGGGUAGGGUCUCCGUGACCCUCCCGGCCUCCCGCCCCCGGGCGGGUCGGCGCCCGCCGGAGGAUAACCAAACUCUGAUUUAACGACGUUUCUUCUGAGUGGUACAAGCAAAUAAUCAAAACUUUUAACAACGGAUCUCUUGGUUCUGGCAUCGAUGAAGAACGCAGCGAAAUGCGAUAAGUAAUGUGAAUUGCAGAAUUCAGUGAAUCAUCGAAUCUUUGAACGCACAUUGCGCCCGCCAGCAUUCUGGCGGGCAUGCCUGUUCGAGCGUCAUUUCAACCCUCAAGCUCUGCUUGGUGUUGGGGCCCUACGGCUGACGUAGGCCCUCAAAGGUAGUGGCGGACCCUCCCGGAGCCUCCUUUGCGUAGUAACUUUACGUCUCGCACUGGGAUCCGGAGGGACUCUUGCCGUAAAACCCCCAAUUUUCCAAAGGUUGACCUCGGAUCAGGUAGGAAUACCCGCUGAACUUAAGCAUAUCAAUAAGCGGAGGAAAAGAAACCAACAGGGAUUGCCUCAGUAACGGCGAGUGAAGCGGCAACAGCUCAAAUUUGAAAUCUGGCCCUAGGCCCGAGU
Molecule: ribosomal RNA, 628 nt
Filed under: fungal endophyte
Lineage: Eukaryota; Fungi
Description: eukaryotic LSU rRNA
Rfam family: 5.8S ribosomal RNA (bases 175-328)
Source: RNAcentral